UCUCGGCUUAUCACCGGCAGUCCCUCUAGAGUGCCCAACUGAAUGCUGGCAACUAGAGGCGAGGGUUGCGCUCGUUGCGGGACUUAACCCAGCAUCUCACGACACGAGCUGACGACAGCCAUGCAGCAUCUGUGGUGCACCCUCGAAGGUCACACGUUUCCGUGCGCUUGCAGCACCAUGUCAAGUCCAGGUAAGGUUCUUCGCGUUGCAUCGAAUUAAACCACAUGCUCCACCGCUUGUGCAGGCCCCCGUCAAUUUCUUUGAGUUUCACCGUUGCCGGCGUACUCCCCAGGUGGAUGACUUAUCGCUUUCGCUUAGCCGCGUACUGUAUAUCGCACACAGCGAGUCAUCAACGUUUACAGUGUGGACUAC
RNAcentral lists this unclassified non-coding RNA (372 nucleotides) under uncultured bacterium. Its description in RNAcentral is "contains 16S-23S intergenic spacer region". The record is from RNAcentral.